ACACCUCCAUUGUAGCCAUAAAGCUAAAACCAAGCACCAUUUGCUUAAAGUGCAAUGUUUAAGGGCACCUGGAGAAACUUUUAGACCUUUCUCAAUUCAUCAUGGUAAAUCUUCUACCAAUGCUUGGUUCCCACUUCACCAGUUCCCUGCAUAAAAUGUUUCUGAUGUAUUAAUUCAUUGCAAUGGAACUUGGUUUAGAAAUACAGUAGGAUUGUAUCACAACCAAGUUCAGAUUCAAGCUGAAAGUAGCCCAUAAUGUUAGCACUGGACUUUGCAAGCUGAGCACUAACAAGAAAUCCUACAGAUCUGAUAAAAAGGGUUUCAAGCUACCAGGUUUUCUGAUAAUUAAUAGUCUUGUUGUUAUAUGGAAGCCAGCAGACCAGUUGGGGAGAUGCUAUUUUUUAGACUUUCUGGGCUUGCCUCUUAAAAA
Spea bombifrons (plains spadefoot toad) is the source of this 430-nucleotide long non-coding RNA. RefSeq lists it as uncharacterized. The transcript has 2 exons. The record is from RefSeq and is a predicted model, not a curated record. Lineage: Eukaryota; Metazoa; Chordata; Amphibia; Anura; Pelobatidae.